CAAUGAUUUAUUCGGGAUAACAAUCGAACAUUUACUUAACGAAAACGACAGGUUUGUUGUUCCACCCAACCGUUUAAAAGUAGGAUCUUGGCCCUCGGUGCAGACCCAGUGACCAAUUUGGCUUGUCCUUGAAUCAAAGGCCAAGGGUGUGGGCUGUUGAUUCUGCGAUGCAGGUUUUCUGAAGUAGGUGCUAUUAUUAUCUCUAUUUUACAAACAAAGAAACUGAGGCUCAGAAGAGAUUAAUUGAUGCUUCCCAUGGUCAAACUGCAAGAAAAUAUCUAAGGUCAGUAGAUGACUGGAUGGAUGAGAAGAUACAAACUUCAAAUCUGCUUUAGGCAAGUUUCUUGGGAGGAAAAUCUCUGAGGUAUGGAAGAUGAUUAUGCUUCUCUGGCAAUUCCUUUCCACCAAAGAGAAGAAAGACGUGAUGAAGCAUAUCUUUUUUCAGGUCAGAUGACUUGGCAAGAAGAGUGCUUGGCCUCAAGUUGUUUUUGUGAAGCACAUCUGGAGAGUGAUCAGGAAGUGCUACCAAGCAACAAAACUGAAUUCUCUUUAAAGUUAUUUGCUAUUUUGGAGUCAAAUAAUAAUAAAACUUUAUAUUGAUAUGGCUCCUGUUUCUCAAAGAACUCGAUGCAUUUUACAACAUGGAACUCAUCCAUGCAACAUCCUGUUAGGGAGGACAGUUGGCAAGGUC
This 691-nucleotide long non-coding RNA is filed under the name Monodelphis domestica (gray short-tailed opossum). Its description in RNAcentral is "lncRNA (ENSMODG00000034927.2)". The record is from RNAcentral. Lineage: Eukaryota; Metazoa; Chordata; Mammalia; Didelphimorphia; Didelphidae.